This 403-nucleotide ribosomal RNA is filed under the name uncultured bacterium. RNAcentral's name for it is "bacterial SSU rRNA". It matches the Rfam family "Bacterial small subunit ribosomal RNA", at positions 29 to 422 of the family's 1533-position model. The record is from RNAcentral.
ACGAACGCUGGCGGCGCGCCUAAUACAUGCAAGUCGAGCGAGAAGACGUAGCAAUACGUUUGUAAAGCGGCGAACGGGUGAGGAAUACAUGGGUAACCUACCCUCGAGUGGGGAAUAACUAGCCGAAAGGUUAGCUAAUACCGCGUACGCUCCUUGGACUUCGGUUCAGGGAGGAAAGCGAUACCGUGGGUAUCGCGCUCUUGGAUGGGCUCAUGUCCUAUCAGCUUGUUGGUGAGGUAACGGCUCACCAAGGCUUCGACGGGUAGCUGGUCUGAGAGGACAAUCAGCCACACUGGCACUGCGACACGGGCCAGACUCCUACGGGAGGCAGCAGUAAGGAAUAUUGCGCAAUGGGCGAAAGCCUGACGCAGCGACGCCGCGUGGGGGAGUGAAGGUCUUCGGA